RNAcentral lists this transfer RNA (87 nucleotides) under Bacteroidota bacterium. RNAcentral describes it as "Bacteroidetes bacterium (sediment metagenome) tRNA-Leu". It matches the Rfam family "tRNA". From Rfam's summary of the family: Transfer RNA (tRNA) molecules are approximately 80 nucleotides in length. Their secondary structure includes four short double-helical elements and three loops (D, anti-codon, and T loops). Further hydrogen bonds mediate the characteristic L-shaped molecular structure. tRNAs have two regions of fundamental functional importance: the anti-codon, which is responsible for specific mRNA codon recognition, and the 3' end, to which the tRNAs corresponding amino acid is attached (by aminoacyl-tRNA synthetases). tRNAs cope with the degeneracy of the genetic code in two manners: having more than one tRNA (with a specific anti-codon) for a particular amino acid; and 'wobble' base-pairing, i.e. permitting non-standard base-pairing at the 3rd anti-codon position. The record is from RNAcentral. Lineage: Bacteria; Pseudomonadati; Bacteroidota.
GCCCAGAUGGCGGAACUGGUAGACGCGCCAGUCUCAAAAACUGGUGGAGGCGACUCCGUGCCGGUUCGAGUCCGGCUCUGGGCACCG